AAAAAAAUUGCUCCGCAGGGCGCAGCUUGAUACGACCGCAGAGGUCGAACCCUGAACAGUUGGGGCAAGUAUGGACACAACAUUCAAGCUUGAUACAGCUCUGAAUUUGGAUUGUGAUUAAAUAUUUGACACAGCAUAGGUUUCUGACACAGAAAGAAUGUGGUCUAAGAACUUGAAUUUUUUUAAUUUACCUAUUAUGGUCCAAUGUCAAAAAUCAAAAUACAUGGUUAGAUUCAGCAUAUCAAAGAACCCCAUAUUUUCAAUUUUUGUUGAAAUCAAACAAAGUUUAAUUUUGGACCCCAACUUGGACAAACUUGAAAACUGGGCCCAUAAUCAAAAAUCUAAACACAUGUUUAGAUUCAGCAUAUCAAAAAACCCCAAUAAUUCAAUUUUUGCUAAAAUCAAACUAAGUUUAAUUUUGGACCCUUUGGACCUUAAUGAAGACCAAUUUAAAAAACGGGACUUAAAAUUAAAAA
Mytilus californianus (California mussel) is the source of this 476-nucleotide long non-coding RNA. RefSeq lists it as uncharacterized. Lineage: Eukaryota; Metazoa; Mollusca; Bivalvia; Mytilida; Mytilidae. The record is from RefSeq and is a predicted model, not a curated record. The transcript is spliced from 2 exons.